GGCUGUAAUGGAACUCUUUCUCCAGCUCCAGGCGCUGGUGGUCGGUGUAGACCACGCGGUACUUGUCUUUGGUCCGAGUCUUACCUGAGAAGCAGAAGGAGCCAGGAGGGAAGAUGAGAAAACUGAGAAUCAGAGAGAGCCACACUCCAGGCAGGUGGGAUUCAAACAGGCUUAUCCAGCCUCAGAAACAGCACCAGAACCUACACCGUGUAAGGUCUCCUGUAGUUAUCUCCAACCCUGAACCACACCAGGGAUCUCGGGAUGGGUGGACGGUGUCUAGCACAGCACCUACCUGGCGUGUGGCAGACGCACAGGGAGGGCAGAGCUUACUCAUUUCCAACAGUGAUGGGGUGACCAUCUGGCAGGAAUGCCAGGAAACGGAGCUGAUCUGUGCGAUGGGCGGUGUGUUGGAAGAGACCAUUUAUUUAUAAGGUCCCUUCCAACUGGGUAACACGAAGCUCUCAAUGUUUGUUGAUUCUCUGAUUGUGUUUGUUAUUGUAGCUGAAAGAAUUCUAACACUGAUUUCCCAGUCUGAGAGUCUAGACGCCGGGCCUGCCCAGCUGGAGGAUGGCGGCCAGGAGCCACUGCAGCCUGCAGCAGGGCCCCCGUCCAGCCUGGGCCAGGCAAAGACAGGGUGUGGCCUCUGCCCCACGAUGGGGGCCACCUUUGCACCAUCUGCUGCCCUAUCUGCUUCAUCGAGGUCUACAGUCUGACCUGGCUUUGGGAGGCAGAAAAGAUGAAGAAGGGACUUUAGAGUCAGAUGGACUCGAUGGUUCUAACCCAGCCCAACCACAUGGCAGCAGCAUGUCCCGGGCAGUAAACAGCAGCCCCAUCCUCCAGCCACGGGGGCCAAAUGAUGAGGUGGCACCUCUGAGUCCUGUCUCCCUCGCUCCGCACAUGCCCCGCAGCAGCUGGCCAGCUCACAUCCUUCCAUCUUCCAGCUCCACGGCGCCUGCAGCCUUACUCCAGGCCACUAAUCUAACGGGCAAGAAAUGUGCUGUUCUGGGGUCAGAAAUCCUGCUUUUGGAAAAAUGCUGAGCACAUGCU
Non-coding RNA from Microcebus murinus (gray mouse lemur), 1047 nucleotides. The record is from RefSeq and is a predicted model, not a curated record. Lineage: Eukaryota; Metazoa; Chordata; Mammalia; Primates; Cheirogaleidae.